ACGGCACUGAUGGGAACCAACCGAACAAGCAGCCGUCUGUAACGGAGAGCCCUGGGCUGCCCUCAAGGCAAAGGGGGAUGCCAGACACCACAACCUCGAGCAGCCAGCCAAGCACCGCCUCCCCGCUGCUGUUAGCCGUGCUGAAGUGCCAACCAGCCUCAUCUCCCGGACGCCUCACCCAGGCACCGAAGCUGCUGCCACACCGCAUUAAAUCAGCGCCCUGACAGCCGGGCAGGACGGGGGUCCCGGCCCCGGUCCCACCGCCCCGGGCGCUGAGCAGGCAGCAGCUGCAAUAAAUGGCGAUGGGCAACCAA
This is a long non-coding RNA of Columba livia (rock pigeon), 314 nucleotides long. RefSeq lists it as uncharacterized. The transcript is spliced from 2 exons. NCBI's taxonomy places the organism in Eukaryota, Metazoa, Chordata, Aves, Columbiformes, Columbidae. The record is from RefSeq and is a predicted model, not a curated record.